AACGAACGCUGGCGGCGUGUUUAAGACAUGCAAGUCGCACGGGAUAAGACAUGUAGUAAUACUUGUUUUAUUUAGUGGCGCACGGGUGAGUAACACGUGAAUUACAUGCCCUAUAGUGGGGAAUAGCCCAGGGAAACUUGGAGUAAUACCCCAUGGUAUCGAAAGAUUAAAGGUGGCCGCAAGGCUGUCGUUAUAGGAUUGGUUCGCGCCCUAUCAGCUUGUUGGUGAGGUUACGGCUCACCAAGGCAAUGUAGGGUACCUGGUCUGAGAGGACGAUCAGGCACACUGGAACUGAGACACGGUCCAGACACCUACGGGUGGCAGCAGUCGAGAAUAAUUCACAAUGGGGGCAACCCUGAUGGUGCAACGCCGCGUGGAGGAUGACGGUCUUCGGAUUGUAAACUCCUGUCAUCUGGGAGAAAGACCUGACGGUAAAUAGCCGGCAGGGUUGAUAGUACCAGAAGAGGAAGGGACGGCUAACUUCGUGCCAGCCGCCGCGGUAA
RNAcentral lists this ribosomal RNA (503 nucleotides) under uncultured bacterium. RNAcentral describes it as "partial 16S ribosomal RNA". It matches the Rfam family "Bacterial small subunit ribosomal RNA", at positions 29 to 523 of the family's 1533-position model. The record is from RNAcentral.